AUUGAGCGCUGGCGGCAGGCUUAACACAUGCAAGUCGAGCGGGGUGAUGGUGCUUGCACUAUCACUUAGCGGCGGACGGGUGAGUAAUGCUUAGGAAUCUGCCUAUUAGUGGGGGACAACAUCUCGAAAGGGAUGCUAAUACCGCAUACGUCCUACGGGAGAGAGCAGGGGAUCACUUGUGACCUUGCGCUAAUAGAUGAGCCUAAGUCGGAUUAGCUAGUUGGUGGGGUAAAGGCCUACCAAGGCGACGAUCUGUAGCGGGUCUGAGAGGAUGAUCCGCCACACUGGGACUGAAACACGGCCCAGACUCCUACGGGAGGCAGCAGUGGGGAAUAUUGGACAAUGGGGGGAACCCUGAUCCAGCCAUGCCGCGUGUGUGAAGAAGGCCUUAUGGUUGUAAAGCACUUUAAGCGAGGAGGAGGCUCUUUUGGUUAAUACCCAAGAUGAGUGGACGUUACUCGCAGAAUAAGCACCGGCUAACUCUGUGCCAGCCGCCGCCGUAA
Molecule: ribosomal RNA, 503 nt
Filed under: uncultured bacterium
Lineage: Bacteria
Description: partial 16S ribosomal RNA
Rfam family: Bacterial small subunit ribosomal RNA
Source: RNAcentral